This is a non-coding RNA of Anas platyrhynchos (mallard), 1761 nucleotides long. The record is from RefSeq and is a predicted model, not a curated record. Lineage: Eukaryota; Metazoa; Chordata; Aves; Anseriformes; Anatidae.
GGUGAGGAGCGGCGGGGCCGUGAGGGGGAACCGGGCCUGAGGCGGGUGGGGGGGGGCUUCGUGAGGUGGGUCCGGCCCUGAGGGGGUGGACGCGUGGGGAGCCUGAGGCCGCUGUGUGCCGCAGGAGGAGGUUGCAGCCGUUCACGCCGAGGCCCUCGUCUCCUGUGGAGAUUGAGGAGGGGAGGUGAGAAGAAAUGGUUAAGGUGCUCCAAUAUAUUGCAUGCACUUUGGAGAUACUGAAGCGAGACAGUUGGAGAUGACAGGCUUAUUUCAGCUUCAUCCUCCCACCCAGGAAGGAUGCGAGUCCUCUGUGCAAGAAGUCCGGCAGGCUUUCAGAAGUCACUGAGCUAGGACACAGCUCCGUAUUUACAUUAUAUUGCCGUGGUCGCCCUCCUGCCCUGUGAUCUGUGCCCCAGACGGUUGUCACCAGGGUGCUCCCACCAUCAGAUGCCACUGAGGAGCACCCCCCAGUUUCUGUUAAAAGCCCGUUCCCUGACAGACCACGAGCCACACGCUGCACUGGUGAGCCCCAGCUGCACUGAAUGAAGGCGGUCAGAGCCCAGACCCCUCAGGAAUUGGCUCUUUUUUUUAACUCCAAUUUCAUGUUUUUGUCUAUUUGGGAGGUGACCAGUGGCACUUAAUGUGGGUCAAGCCUGGCAAACUGAUCUCCAUGGCAACCCUUAAUGAAUGCCAUUGGCUCAGUGGUUCCAUCCCUGCAUCUCAUUAAAUUUCAAUGACUUUCAUGGGGCUCGGACAUGUAAUUAAUAUCAAACACAUGGUAUUCAGCAGGGUAAGGUUUAACAGCAGGCAACGUGUGCACGAGCAGGAGACUGACGUGGGGGGGCAGGGGGAAUGUUUGGGCUCUGUCCCCAAACGCCGCAGGAACAAACAGCCCAUGAAAAAGAAGCAGAAGGCAGAGCCUGGCGGUUGCUGCUCGCAGCCUGGCAGAGACGGAGCUGGGCUCUUUAUCCCCGUUCGCUUUGGAGAAGAUUGGGAAGCAGUUCUGUGACAGGGGCUGAUGCCCGCAUGUCAGAGUGGCUCUCAUUGCUUUGUGACCAGUAGCCAUCUUGCUGAAGUAGUUCCAUUGUUGUAAGAAAUCAGGAAUUGUGGCACAUGUGCUGGCUAAAGGGAACUCCCCAAAGGCCCGGAAGGGUGGAGGAGGCUGCACGAGGCAGGAAGAAACAUUCAAUUGCGUGCUUCGAUUUAUUUUGGUCAUGUACAGGUACAGCCUCGUCUGUGGCUUCUGUGGCACAAAGGGAACCCUCCCCAACCCCUGCGCAGCAGCACCACAGAGCAGCUUCCAAAGUCCUCGCGAGAAACCACUGUGGACUUGGGAGCAUCUUGUGCUUAUCAUGAGGCUGGAGUGAAUCACAGCUCUUCAGAAGUGGGCAGUGCAGCCCAAGCAUAGGGCUGCUGAGAUGGUGGCGCAGGGACCGCCUGACCCUCACACCAUCCAGCUGCACAGGAGGCCCGGGGGAGGCUCCUUCUCUAGGGGAAGGGACAGAUGCCAAAAUGCAGGGGGGAGUGGCUUCUGUUGUUUGCCAAAUUGAAUUUGGAUUUCCUAGGGUUUGCCUGCCUCUAGUGAAGAUCCCAAUCAUUUCAGCUGUAUUAAAAUCUUACAGCGUCUUAUCUCCCAUGGACUAAUGUUAUCAGACAUGAAAUGAAGCAAAAAGGGGGGAAGGAGGGGGAAGGAAAUAACCUCUGCUAAUUACUAAUGCAAAAUGAGUAAUGAGAUGAAGAAAUGAUGUGCUAUCAGAUACA